AUGGGUGCUACUGCUUUCUUGUACAUCCUGCUGUCCCUCUGGGUUCAGGGCGCAGCUGCCAUUCUUGGCUUCACAAGAAGCGAUUUUCCCCAGGACUUCGUAUUUGGAUCUGGAACCUCAGCAUAUCAAUAUGAGGGUGCUGUUGCUGAGGAUGGCAGGAGGCCAAGCUAUUGGGACACUUUCACUCAUGCAGGUAAAAUGCCAGACCAAAGCAUAGGAGAUGUUACUGCAGAUGGGUACCAUAAAUACAAGGAGGAUAUCAAGCUCAUAUCUGAGACAGGUCUAGAGGCCUAUAGGUUCUCCAUCUCCUGGUCAAGGCUCAUUCCAAAUGGGCGUGGAGCUGUCAAUCCAAAAGGGUUACAAUUCUACAAUAACAUCAUAGAUGAGCUUGUGAAACAUGGUAUUCAAAUACACAUCACACUUCACCAUCUAGAUCUCCCUCAAAUUCUUGAAGACGAGUAUGGUGGAUGGUUAAGCCCCAGAAUUAUCGAAGAUUUCACGGCAUAUGCGGAUGUUUGCUUCAGGGAGUUUGGAGGCAGAGUCACUUACUGGACUACAGUGAACGAGCCAAACAUUGGUGCAGUUGCCGCUUACGGCAGUGGUCAAUUACCACCUGGUCGAUGCUCAGAUCCAUUUGGAAUAACAAAGUGCACAGCUGGGAACUCCAGCACUGAACCAUACAUAGCAGUUCAUACUUACUUAUUGGCGCAUGCAUCAGUUGCCAGACUGUACAGAGAAAAGUAUCAAGCUGUGCAAAAAGGACUUGUGGGCAUAAAUAUCUACUCCUUCUGGAGUUACCCAUUCACAGAUUCCACCGCGGAUUUAGAAGCAACUCAAAGAUGCAAGGACUUCAUGUUUGGCUGGAUACUAGAGCCUUUGGUGUUUGGGGACUACCCAGAAAUGAUGAAGAAAAAUGUUGGCUCUCGUCUUCCAUCGUUCACAAAAGUCCAAUCUGAACUUAUCAAGGGUUCUUUUGAUUUUAUCGGAAUAAAUCACUACUAUUCUCUUUAUGUGAGUGACCGCCAGACAGAACCAGGUAUCCGAGACUACAACAGGGACAUGUCAAUUUAUUACAGAGCUUCUAGGACAGAACCGCCAGCUGGGCAGGGAGCCCCAACAAAUGUUCCAAGUGAUCCCAAAGGGUUGCAACUUGUCCUCGAGUACCUGAAGGAAGCCUAUGGGAUAACUCAACUUUAUGUCCACGAGAAUGGUGUGGGGUCAGCCAACGAUAGCCUUGAUGAUACUUACAGGGUCGAUUACCUGCGCAGCUACAUGGGAAGCACACUAGAUGCAAUAAGGAAUGGGGUUAAUGUGAGGGGUUAUUUCGCCUGGGCACUCAUGGACCUAUUCGAGCUCCUGGCAGGAUACGAGUCCAAGUACGGCCUGUACCGCGUGGAUUUUGAUGACGAAAGGAGGCCACGGCAAGCCAGGCUCUCUGCUCGCUGGUACUCCGCCUUCCUGAAAAAGAAUGGAUCCUCUAUUCGAGUAUCAAGGGCGCAGGAGGACCUAAGGUUGACGACCGUCUUCUAA
Molecule: ribosomal RNA, 1530 nt
Filed under: Triticum aestivum (bread wheat)
Lineage: Eukaryota; Viridiplantae; Streptophyta; Magnoliopsida; Poales; Poaceae
Description: partial small subunit ribosomal RNA
Source: RNAcentral